CUGGACCUCCCGGAGAAAGGGUACAUAUAUUUGUUGAUGAUGAACCAUUUUUAUUGUGAUCAGUAAUAUGCAGAUAUUGAUCUAAAAUCGUGUUCAUUUUAGGGUUUGCCAGGACCUCAGGGACCAACGGGUUUCGCAGGACCAAAGGGGCCUCCUGGACCCCCAGGGAAGGACGGCCUGCCUGGACAUCCCGGACAGCGUGGAGAGACUGUGAGCAGAUGAUCAUUAAGCUCCUCUAUGUUUGGUUUUCUGGUAAAUUUGUUGUUUAAUUUGUUUUUGUUUUUUAGGGCUUUCAAGGCAAAACCGGCCCUCCUGGUCCUCCAGGUGUGGUUGGACCUCAGGGACCAACUGGUGAAACUGGACCAAUGGGAGAUCGAGGCCACCCCGGACCCCCGGGCCCACCCGGAGAGCAGGGUCUUCCAGGUGCUGCAGGAAAAGAGGGUGCUAAGGUGAAAACAUUUCAUGUUCCCAAUUAUGUUCAGAAGUUCCCAAAAUUGACCAGUUCUUUUGUGUUUUUGGGGUGGCAGGGUGACCCAGGUCCUGCUGGACCUGCCGGUAAGGAUGGCCCUCCAGGCCCAAGAGGUUUUCCUGGAGAGAGAGGUCUUCCUGGUCCUGUGGGGGCUCACGGUCUGAAAGGCAACGAGGGUCCUCCUGGCCCACCUGGCCCUGCUGUGAGUAUCAGACAUCCAUUUCUUUAA
RNAcentral lists this long non-coding RNA (698 nucleotides) under Oryzias sinensis (Chinese medaka). RNAcentral's name for it is "lncRNA (ENSOSIG00000004793.1)". The record is from RNAcentral. Lineage: Eukaryota; Metazoa; Chordata; Actinopteri; Beloniformes; Adrianichthyidae.